GGAAAAAUCGCGUUUCUACUAUCGCGGAGGCUGAAAUCACGCGCAAAAGUCGACGCGUGCUCCCGAGAUACUCGAGUUUCCGACGCAGGUCGGUGUUAACGCGUUAAAUUUCUAUGCAAUCGCGCUAUCGAGCGUUACUAGCUAAUAACGCCAUAUUGGGCAUAUCUUUUCGAUUGCCCGAAUUAUUUCGCGUGUCGGAAACGCAACUUGGCGAUGGAAUUCGCUCGUUUUCAAUCGGUGUAUCGAUUGUGUCGUGAUAUUUCGAUUUGCGGUUGUCGGCACGCACCGCGCACGCACGGGAGCAAUAUUUACAUCUCGCAUCGCUCGCGAGUGGCCGAUUCGGCGUAAAGGCGCCCAUGCGCUUUUUAAUGCGCUCAUUAAUCGCGCGCGUAAAAGCAAUCGAGCGUCGCGUCAUCGAGUGAACUGUGCCGCAUCAACUGCCGGCAGCAAUCGGUCGAGCACGCCGACGAUCCGCAGCUUCGUUCGGUUGUACGACGCAGCGUCCAGUGGAUGUGGCGAAGUCAUUUGAUUGUUCGAAGUCAGAAGAAAAGCUGAGAAGCAGAGAAAAUGCGGCGUAAUUUUGGAAGCUGAAUCUGCGUUCUGGAAAACGUCGGAGACGGACGGCGCAUGCGCAGCGACCGGUGAGUCGAUCCAUUUGUUACUUUUGCGUUUAAUUAUUGUUGAUUGAAUGAUUGAUGCAUCGAUUGUCGCCACUGAUCGCAUUGCAUGAACGUUGUAAUCAAGUAUAAUUAUAAAUUUUCUAUAAUAUUAAAUAAUUUUGAAAAACACAUAGUACAUCAAUAUUCUGAUAUUUCCUGAAUGCUAUUUGACUAGAUAUAUCAUACUACAAUCUCUAAAAGCAUGAAGCAUCGAUCCAACAUACACUGCGCUCAAUACAAAAUUCUUUCGUCUUCCGCGGAAUAUUCUCCGCAAAAGCUUUCACAUAGUAAAACUUGCCGCACAGAUAGCAAGAACUAAAAGCUACGACGCUGCAAUUCGCGAUGUGCGAAAUUAACGAGGAGCAGAAGCGAGACCGCGUCGUUACAGUGUGGAUCGUGAAAUCGAUGGAGUCGACGAGAAUGCAUGGCGGAGAAACGGAAAAAUCGCAAGGUCUGCGAUUACUGAUGCAAAAUCAAGAUAACCUUUUUCCGAUUUCAAUUCCGGUCGCGUUAUAGAAAGACGAAACUUUCCUAAUUUCGAAUUCGCGAAUACGGCGCAGCCGCUGUUUAUUGAAAUGCGUCGAGCCAUUUGCACACAUUCAUGGUGGCGCUCAUUCCAGGCUUUUGCAUAAUCGACUGAAAAGAUAAAAGAUUAUGGAGAAUAAUACGAAAUGAUAUGCCUCUUAUAUGCCUAAAGCUAUUUGUAUCAUGUUUUAUUAAUAAUGGCCGUUAUUUCAGGCGCGAUUUCCCUUUAUUCGAUAAACGAAAUAAACGCAAAGAGGAUCUCGCGAUAAUCUGCGAUGUGGCGGGAAAAAGGGGAGGAGAGGGAAGGAAAGGGAUGGAGAGGAAGAGGAAGCGGGCUGCGUUUAAUACAUUUUUUUCGUACGUGCGUAUUUAACUGGGCCAUUCAUUACGAAUGGCUGGAUUUAAUCUGGCGCACUCUCGCCGAGAGGGACAAGGAGAGAGGAGAGCGAUCCUCCUCAUCCGAGGUCCGCCACGCCGAUAAUAAAUGUCCGCGGUAUAACGUACGCAUUGUUGCGAUAACGCGCGUGAUCGGAAGUGGAAGCACGUUCCAGCAUAUUCGCGCAGGCACUGUGCCGAUAAUAAUACUUCUUUGCAACGAGUUCCGCCAACCAGAGGAAACGGGAUGGCGGCCCCCCGCAGCCGGAGGAAAAGUUUCCCCAUAAAUCUGCGAUUCUAAGGCCAUUGUCCAUUCAGGGCCGUACACAUCGUCUGCCUCUGGACACACGGUAUCGCGGAGCAGCCUUUAUGCCCGAUGAAAUAUACCGCUGCCGAAAAGAUAGCAGACGAAGUAACCGGUCGAAGUUUCUAAAAUUCCCAUUCUCAUGAAGCAAGUGUUUUUUGAGACACUGCGCUUUUCUGCUUACGAAGUCGUUAAACUGGGAAUGCGUGUUCAGGGAUUUUGAAUUUAAUAAAAUCUUGAUAAAUAUAAGUCAUAGAAUGUUGUGAGAUAUUUCUUUAAUUGAAGACUUUUGAGAAAUAAAUUUACAAAGUUUUGUUUUUCUUGCUAGCAUUUCUGUAAUGCUUAUGUAUAUGAUAUAGAAAUUUUUAGAGAGAAAGGAGAAAAAUAAAAUUUCGUGGAAAGUGUGAAGGGAAAUAUUAUAAAACGAUAUAAAGCGUAAAGAGCAGGGAAAUAUCAAAUUCUUCCUGAUAAUAAAUCCUAUUAUGAUACAUAUGGAACAAAAUGUCAGAAUUUGUCAGCGAAAGUCGGUAAACGGUAAUAAAAACGCGGGAAAGAUAAAUGCGAUUGUAUUAUUUAUUACGAAGAUCACAAAUAUAUUCCGAGGUGGAAUAUAUUCCGGAAGAUAUCAUGAAUUUGGGGAAAUUUUCAUGAAGCCGUUGGGAAGGUUUAUCUUCAGGUAUCUGACAACACCGUAUAACUCCAGUUUUCGCGAAAGACAGAUGUGAAUGGGUAAGAGAGAAAUUUGUGCAUCACUCGCGAAGCACAGACAUUUUUCCAAGGAAUUUAUGCUCCUCCAUAAUAAAAACUAUACUUUGUACUUACAUAUUUUAUAUUUUAUAUAUUAUAUUUUAUAUGUAGCUUGUGCAAAUAAUCGUCGUGUGGAAUUAACAGCGUCGCGGAUUGGUAAAUUCAGAGCUUAGCUGAAUAGCACACAAUCGGACACAAAUACCGUGUUAAAGGAUUAAGUACUCCUCUACGAUUCGCAAUCCAGUUAAUACAAAAAGUGCCGCACCUGUUCGCUUCGUUCUUUUGCCGUGGCUAAAAGCUGGGAACAUCACUCGGCGGCGGGCGAAAGCUGCGUUUUGCGGCUAGUAAAAUCGUCGAGCAGCCGUGCUGCGCGGCUCGGCCUUUAAAAAAAGAUUUUAUCUCGUUCAUUGAUGCGAACGCGAUCGGCGGAAAUGCGGCGCGCACGGCAAGGUGUGAGAAAAGUUUCGCUUUGCGUUUGGAUCGUCCAUCUGCACUCACGCUACACGGCAAUAAAACAAAACCGGCGCAUAUCGUCGGCGAUUCAUGCGGGAAAUCUGGCGUAUUGGCGAACGAGCGUAUUAGCGUGGUCAUUCGGCCGUAUCGCGAAGGAGUCGAUAGCUCCGUUAUUAAAUCCUGUCCUGCAAGUGGUCGAUAAAAUAUUCGCGCCCGAUACAGGAUAUGACAGCUCUCAACCUUCGACCGCAUAUGUGCGCGGUUAUUUUAUAUCUCGACCAAUGUGUCAGAUUGUCACCCGCACUUUCGUAAUUUUAUGCACCUACUUCUAUGUGUGUUUCGCGUUUUCCAAAUUAAUUUUCUUAUCUUUCAGAUUUGCGCUUAGCGAUUUAAUAGUUCAGCGGAUUUUCUAGUUUUUUUUUUAUUGAAGAACGUGCUAAUCUUUUUUAAUGCAUCCUGAAAAAAAAGUACAAAGGCUUUCAAUUGCAGAAUCAGAUUUUCCAGGAUUGCUAUUUUUAUUUACGUGAUUUAGUAUGCUAUUAUUCCCAACGCCUCAUUUAUAUGCAGAACGUUUACAUUGGCGAAAUAUUCGCGUGAGGGCAGAUUGCGAGGCAUUUCGACAUGGCGUGAUGUUUCGUUAUCACAGGCAGCAGGGUUCGAAGACGCGAAUCGCUUCCAUUUCCGCUACGAGUGUUACUGUGUAAAUCCCUCCUUUAUUGUGACAGACUCGACGGUGCGCGUGAUUCCAUACGCAAUGCAUUUCUGAUAGUCUGCAAGUUUGAAUUACGACGGUAAGGGAACAGGAUCAAGACCAUUGAGAUCGGAUCCGUGAUGCCCAAGUGUAACUAACCGCUUCUGCAUCUCUUGAUGCUACGACAUACCUGUCCUACUCUGUACUGAUUUUAUAUUUAUCCAUCUUUUGCAAUUUCAUGCUCUUCAUGCUCCAGAAUUUUUCUACAUUUUUUUAUUUCCCUUGCGCGCCUUCAAUCUUAUCCUUUUCAUAUUCUCAUUUUGAUCCAUGCCUGCGUUAGGUCGUUCGUAAUCAUUCAGUCAAUAUAAUAUGAUCAAUAUAAACUGAAUCGCUAUUAUUUCAUAGAAAAUUUCACUUGAGAAUCUAUGAAUAAAACGGUAUAAAAUUAUUCUCAAUGUUCUCAGCGGGAGAAAGCAAUAUUCUCGAACGAUUUCCAAAGAAAUAUUCGCUCAAGCGGUAUUCUCUUUAUACAUUUAUAUUUUUCUGAAUAUUAAACGCGUGCAAACGUUAUCGUUAGAUAUAGGUUACCAAAGAGAAACCAAAUUAAAAAGCAAAAGAGAAACAAACGUUUUAAAAAUUCAAUAUAAGAAAUAAAAGAGAAAUCGAUGCGAAUAACGGUUUCCUAUGAAAAUGCAUGGUUUCCAGGAUAUUUGCUGAAUAUAGAAUAUUUUUGUAAGAUGGAAAAAUUUUUGAAUCCUUGAGAAAAGAAUCCCAACAAGUUCUCCAAGUGCCAUUCCGUUUUAUUCAAUUCAUUCGUAAUAUGCGUGACAAGAGAAACUAAUAGACGGUCAGAAGUAGCAAACUACGAAGUAAGCAAAUAAUUCAGGACGCCUUGAAGGCCAAAGUAAUAACUUCAGAUUUAAUGACGAAUCGUUAAUUUUCAAAAAGCGCAAUAUUAUUAAAUAAAGAAACUACAACAACUCGAGGUAUGCGACUAAUGUCGUUCGUCAGGGUUCCCUGCGUGCUCGCAGUUUCGGGCACCUUUGUGCGAGAUGUCGCGAACAAUAAGUACGCCGAGCGGCUGCUUGAAAACUGUAACUGAGUUAAGAGAAACUCCUUAACUGAAUUCCACGGUUAAAUACCGACUUUCGUCUUAACCCUCGACCACGGUGUUCCUAAUUAAAUUAAAAUUUCCGCGAAAGUCCAACGUGGUUAUGGCGCCGCAACGGAGUUUAUCGCUCGACGUGGCGCGCCGACAUUCGCCAUCUGCUGUUGGAAAUCUUUUGACUGUGCUAGCCAACUGGCGUGCUUCAUAAAUCCGUCUUGUAUUUUUUUUAGCAUCAUACGGAGUAUGUGACGCAGUGAUUUCGAGGUGCGGAAAAAUUACGCAAGGCACGCGCGUCACGGAAAAACCCGCGGAGAAAUUCGCAAUUAUUAUUUAUCCGCUGCUACUGUUGCAACUAAAUAUUGCCGAAUAAACGAGAGUUUCUUGUAAAUGGGACGAUGAUAAUGCGCUAUCAAGACGAUUUCAUCUCGGAAACGUAUCGGACCGGCUUAUUACCGAUCCUAAACCGGUCGUUACGCUAUAACGAAUGAGACUCUUCUGCUCGCGACGUAGGUUUAUCCUGAUAGAUACUUGGUGGAAGAAGCGUGAGAUUUUUCGAACAGCGACAGUGGGUUGGGAGUCCAGGGAAAAGGGAAAAUGGUUGAAGGGUAGUAGAUUCGCAGGAGGAAUCAAUGGCCGAUGCGGGUCACGUAGGGUGCUACAGGAUUCAGUUGGUGACACGGUAGGCUUGGUGAACGAUAAAGUUAUACUUUCAGAAUAAUGGAGUCAUCCUUAGGACCGUAAAGGAAGUACGCAAUUCCGCAAAUCGCUACGAGCGCAAUGGAUUCCGUUCCAUCUUGUGGCCGGCAUUACAUUAAAAUAAAACAAACGGAUGGAUCAAUGUAUCCUCCUAGUUCAUAGAGGUCCGAGAUAGUAAAUGGAAGGAAUACAGCAGGAGUGCUGUGGAAGAGCCCACGAGAAGAAUUAUUAAUGAGCAACGAUGUAUAUCGAGAUGGCCACUGCGUGCACUUAUUAGAUUGAAGUGUACCAUCUAUCUCCUUAGUACUCGUUAUUUUCCAAGAGACGUUUCUUUGUGGCGUCUUGGCAGACCAUCCAUUAUGUCAAAUGUGAAACAAUCAAUAUUCAUUCGGACCACCGCCAUUUAUAAUACAAAUCAAACGAACCAUUUUUCCAGCGGAUGAUGUACUUGUCUGCCUCGCCUCCAAUCGAUCAAGCUUUCAUGUUUAGUUUUUCUAUUCGUACGUUCCUAUUUAUCUCUAUCUUGAUCUAGCAUUAUUAUGUCUUGCUUAUCUAUACUAUAUUUACUAAAUAAUCCGGAUCGCGUCUAGAUAGAUGAAUCAAACUAAACACAUAUUUACGACAGCAUAAUAUAGCUUGUUGUAUAUUAAUUUUAGAGCAGAGUUGACAAAAAGCAAAAAACAAAAUUCUCUAAAACAUCAUUACAAUAUCUAUAUUGUCUAGACGUGACUUGGAUUACUUAGUUAAUUAUCUAAUUAAGUAGUAUUGUUCAUAUUUGUACUUUUCCUUUCAAUGUUUCUGAUUGAAUUAUUUCUAUUAAUAAUCUCCAUUUAUUCCUCGCAAUUGAGUUGUAUUUUAAUUGUACCUAUAUUGGCAAUCAUCAAUUAAUAAAUGGUAAAUAUUACGAACUGAUAAAUACCAUGAAUAAAAUUGCGUGAAGUUUAUUUGAUGAUAACCGUUACAUCUUCGAUAGCUGAACAAUGCAAUAUUGAAAGCCGAUCUUUAAUGUCGCUCGGAAACUUCGUACUUUCACAGAUAUCGAUUUUUUCACAAGAAGUAUUUAAAUGCCUUUUACAGUUCGUUACAUCUCCUAAAAGAGGAUUAUCGUCCGCUUUUGUAAAUUAUUUCCGCGAUCUGUUGCAAUUAAUUUUGAUUUGAUUAUCGAGAAAACAACGGAAAAUAAGCGCAGAAGGGAGUUAGACAAAGGAUGCGAACGACGGGAGGAGGUCCAAGAGUCAUUGCACGGCUACCAUGGAGAAAAACAAUUUUACUUUUCCUAUUAGUAAACUCUUCAAGAGGUACAAAGCCCGCGAGCAGUCCCAAGUAAAGCGAUGAAGAAAGCGCGCCGACGCGAGCAAGAAAAAAGAAAGCGCAAGUACACAGGAGGUUGCGAGUAGGUGUAAAGCGGGGUUGAAAAAGCGACGGCGUUGGAGGGGAAGACAAAUUUUAUUACCGCAUUUGUAAGCAGGGCGUAUCGCUCUUGCGAAUUCGCCCAAUAAUACGGAACGAUUUGUUUUUCGACGCCGUGAGUAGCGUCUAAGGAAGGCAGCGGAGUGCAGCGUGAGAAAUAGAAUGCAUAUCGAUCAAGCGGAAUGAGCGUCUUUGGGAAGAGAACAUGGGUCCGCGCGGUGUUAACUUGUACGAACGAUUAAUCUUGUCGCACGCUGCCGCGACAUCGAUAUGCAUCAGGCAGAGAAUUUAUAUCAAACAGGCCCGCGCGCACAGACUGGAUAUCUCUGAUCAAACGCACUUGUAUUUAAUCACCAUCUGCAUGGAUGGUCAAGGGAAUUAUAACGUUGCGCGCAAUUCCACUUGACGCCGGUAUCAGAUAUUUAAUGAGAAAUAAUAUAUGCAGCUCAAAUAGAAUUUUUGAGAAACUUUUAUUUAAUUCCAAUCUAAACAAACUUUGUCACGGAGAAUUCGCGAAUGCAAAAUAUUCAAGUGUGUGUAUAUCGCAUAUAAAAUAGAUAAGCUAUAUCAAUAAAAUAUACAUUGGAAGAAGAUAAUGAUUAGUAGCAUUUUGAAGGAAGUCAAUAAAAUUUAUUCUGACUGACGCACUGACUCUUAACACGACGUUAUUAAUACGAAAAGACACACGUUUCGCUUUAUUACUUAUUAUUGCGCACUGCAGCUGUGCUCCACUGAGCAUGUUUGUUUCACCAACUAUUUGUCCUCCGUGUUACGUCAGGAAUGGAGUGUAAAGUUGCAGACGUUUGGCGCAUACAAAUGCAGCAGCGUAUUUUCCACGAAUGCGCCCAUAACACGUCCUCGACACACGCUGCACUUGAUGUUUCCACGGAAUAACGAAAGUGCGCGCAUUUCACCGAUGCGUCUCGUGCACAUCGUCGAGUACUCGUUUCAUCGCCGAUUUCGCGCACACCAAUGAAACAGCAUUGCAGCCUCCUGAAGGUCUGCCCUCACGCGUCCUCUCUCGAGCACCACGAUUUUCGGCGAUCUCCCGGAACCCCGGAAGCUCCGGGUCCCUUAUCCCGUCGUGAUGUAUACCGCGAUCCGUGAAAGUUUCAUGCACCAUUGGGCGAGAACGGAGGAGUGCGGGGAAAAACGAUGAGCGCGUAUUUGUUUCCGGGCCCGGGCGAGAGACGUGAAUUAUUUGGUCGAGGUUGUAGGUCGUUGAGUUAGGUCGUGAGUAGGAUUUUCUCCAUCUUUUCGAGGCAUUGUCCCCGGUGUGAGGGGUGCAUCUGCAGUGCAAUCACAUUAGGUGCAUCCCUUCGCUUGGACCGCGAGCGCGAGCCGAGCGUUCGCUCCUUUUCCCACGUGUCUACCCUCGGAGCACGUGUCGAUUGCGAAAGACAGCGGGGUAUCCAUUUUCUGCAGGCCGCAACAUCCGCGGUGAGACUCUUUCGUCCCGAGGAACGAAACGAAAUGAAACGAAACGAAACCGCCAGUCGUAGCCGUGACAAUACGGUACACUUCGACAAGGACGACGUCGUAAAAGCGCACAAUGGGACGGCUGAUUGGCUACUCGAACGGAAAUACGCGCUUGGAAAAACGUCCCCGGGAAAAUGAUAAGACCAUAUCGGUCGCGUAAUGCCGCCCGAGACGGGAAGAUUUGCGCCGGAGAUAUUGUUAUCGCGACGGCUAUGAUGGGACGACCGUCGCGAUGCAGGGGGUGAAAGAAAACGCACCCCGCCGUCUUCUCGUUUCCAUUUUAAAUCUUAACUAGAGACACCUAUCUGUAUCUCCUGAAUAUUUCAAUGCGCUCCUGCACAUUGUAAAUUUUAAUUCAUUUCAUCGAUCUGCUGUUGACAAAUUCUCUCUAUCUUUUUCUCUUUUAAUACACGCUAUAACUUGCGAUUUAAAUAAAAGUUGUACAUUUGUUUAAUUAAAUUAAAAAACAUUUGUUUAAUUAAAGUUGUCAUUCGUUCGAUUGAUUAUUUGCGUAUUUACGCGCUUCGUAUUUUUGCGCUAUAAUUUACGUUAUACGUGCGCGAGCAAGCUGAAAGAAGCGAAAAUACACAAGAACAAUAUAUCAUUAAUCGCAACAGUUGAAAGAAGAACAGUUACACAAUAUGUAAUCGCGAAUGGUCUACACUUCUCGAUGUGCAAUUACAUGAAGUGCGAAGGAAGUCACGAAGAGUUUCGACGGAAAAGAGUACCUUCCGUAUUCCGGAACUCCUUCGUUUCGAUCCUUUUCGAGAAUGCUCUCCUCGUUACGUGCGAAAGGUACCUCUCGAAAGGGUAAGAGAGCCAGUGCCGUCAGCAUUUUCAGACACUCAGACUCCGUUACUCGAGUAAGGUUUCUCUUCUCGUGCGCGUGUCCCCCUAUUUUUCUCCGUCUCGCACCGUCGUACCGCCUCAUUGCGAUCAGCUUCACUACCACCUUCGUGAUCACGGUGGGAGGGCAAACAACCCAUGAUGGUGAUUGCGUUCUCCGCAUAGAAGUGAUAUGCCCUUAACUAUGUAUUUAGUGCGAAAAGGUCGCUAAAUAUCGCUUGGAUUUUCUGGACAUUCUUCCUCGAUUCUGUUAUUUGUAUAAUUCAUUGUAUAGAUUGAUUUCGGAUGUUAUUGCACAACAAAAGAAUAAGAAUCUAACGAACUAUUGAAUAAUUACAGCUCCAUCAAAAUAACUGUUACUUUUAAAGAGCUUAUUACAAUUUGUAGUCAAGAGAAUUAACUCUCAAGAAAAAUAAAUGGUUUUUUACUAGAAAAGCCGAAAAAAGAAAUAUAUUACCUACCAGAGAGAAGAGAGAAGAGUGCACUUCCGGAUCAAUGUGUAAAUAUAUUGUGUAGAGAGUGAAGCGGAAACAGUAUUGCACAUUUGGCAGCAGGGAUUUAUCGCUUGAGAGAUUUGCCGAUUAUAAAAUUGCUUCAUUCAAAAAAAGAAAGAAAAAAGAAAUAAAACGAGGCAUAUCUACCCGUUAUAUUUCCCAACGAUCCACUCAAGACUUCAUGGCGAAAUGAGGGUUUCUGCAGGAACUGCAAUCCCCUCUCUUUCUCGUUAAACGCGCUUCCAUCCAAAGUCGGUUUAAAUAAUUUAGCGUUCAUUCCCCUUGAAUGAAGUUCGAUCAAGUUGCGAGCUGUAAAGCUCUUUAACGCUCCGAAGUUCCACUCCCCAUAUAUCCGUCAUCACCAUGGAAAGUCGACGCGUCAUGACGGCCGCCGUGGGCCCCCGAUCGAUUCUUUUAAUGCACUUUGUCCGACUUAAGGAGCAACGUCCCUUCCGCCAAUCGCGCGUCGAACGCUGCAUUAAAGUCGUAUUAAACGAGCCGAGUUUUCGUCACGCGUAAUAAAAUUGCACCACGCUCAUCCGGUAGCUGCGAAAUUCUUUGUGACUUAAUUAAAGUUCCACCGAACGCGCGCGCGAUCGUUCCACCGGGAACAGUUCACAAUGAGUCCUCGUCGUUGCCUUCAUUAUUUCCUUCGACGACUGGCCUUUGUGAGCGAAAUAAAGCUCGAUCUGCUUCCCUUUGCCAACCGCGUACUAUCAUCAAGGCUCGCGUCUCGUGGAAUGCCGUGACGCAAAAGGCUCUCCGUCGUGGCGUCACUAGCCAGCUAGAAGGGGGCUAAUGGGUUGACGAAGUUUUCAUUAAUGUCGUAGAUCGUAUCGUGAGAAACACGGGGUUUAGUGGCGAGGAAAGUUCACGCCAGCGUCUCACACACCAGCCACCAGCGUGCGUUUCUGAUAGAAGAUUUUCCGUUACGUGAAAACGUGACCCGGGGAUGGCGGUGACUCGGGAAAGGAGGUUUGCCGUGCAUACCAAAACCGUAUUCGACGUAAUUACGACACCCUGCAUAAUUCCCAUCCUGCGAAACAAGUACGAAAAAGGGACACCUCGCGCGAUAUCGCACACGAACGCGUGCAAUCUGCAAUCCUCGCCGCGUGAUAAUGCAAAACGGCAGGACAUUACCCCUUACGACGUGUCUGGGCUGAAACGCAGCGGGUUUCUAUGCAAAUAGCGCGAUUUUCGUGCCGCGGCGAGGGAAAGAUUUUUCGCGGCAUUAUCAUAAUGCAAUUUUUCGUAACAAAGCUAACGUCUCCGUAUGCGCGCGCGCGCACCGUGAAACAAGAAGACGUUAUUCUCCAUCCGCCCUUUCCGCGAACAGCCCGCGCAAUUUGCCAGCCACGCAAAAUAUGAAGGGACACAUUGGUUCGCCUCUCUCGGGGUGUCUUAUGAAUUACAAAUUCAUUUAACGGCAUUACUCCGUCCCUUUACUCGGUAGGAUUGCGUCGCCCGCGCUCGUAAACACGGUGACACCGGGCUCGUAUAUUAUCCGUCCACCCCCUUCAGCAAACCUCCGGCACCACUGUCGUGUUGCAGUACACGAAGCCGUACCAUUUGUUCGUGCAUUUUUCCUUUCCUCUCGGCGCGCCUGGAUCGGGACGUUAAGCGCGAUCGCAAGUCGUAAAAAUCUCAUGACGCGGUGUUGCGCAGAAAACUUGUAGCCACACCUGAAACGUCAAACUUUACUCGAUGUACGUUUUUUUUCUUUUUCUUUUCUUCUUUACAUGAAUGCCUCGUUGACGCGAACGAGACAAGAACUCGACGACAAGAACCGCAAUAAAGGGCGGAAUUUGAUCGCGGCAGCGCGACCAUGCAAAAGACUAAAUAACAGACUUUGACAUCCGAAGAAAUGGAACGUGAUUUUUUCUGAUUUGAUCUAUUAAUUUACAUGUACUUCAACGAUGUUGAAAUUUCAUUCGACACGAUUUGAUCUAUUAAUUUACACGUACUUCAAUGAUGUUGAAAUUCCAUUCGACACGAUUUGAAAACGUUCAUUCGCCGUUCAGCUUCCUCGCGUUAAAAAAAGUAAACUCGCAGACAAUCGCAGACAAUCUCGAACCAGCAGAUCAAUUUCGCGGAGAACAAAACAAUAUCGGAACUUGUCUAAUAUCUCAAGUUCUCCCAGGCGCAAUAAAUCUACCCUUUCCUGCGUCUUUCGUAUUUCCUUCGUUCUAGCACAUAAACAAGCCAUUUAUUCGUUUCUUCGUUGCAGCGUGUUACAGCCUCCGCCUCGUUCGAACGAGGACGUUAAAUGAUCGCGAGUCGUAAAGCUCGGUUCCUUUGGCCGACUUUUCGCGUUUUCACCACCGUGUUUUUCCACCAGGAAAAUUUCCAUGCGCGAGCAGACGCAUGGGAAAUCGGGCGUACCGCAUUAAAUUCAUGCUGAUACUUCCGCUUUGAACGUCCGAACGCUUCGUAAUUUUGACAUGAAUAACGGUAUCGCGCUUUCAUCAUUACACUCUGAUUACUUGUAUCGCGGAACGUAAUCCUACGUACUAUGCGUAUGUUUCACGUCGAAAAUAUUACGGAAUAUGUAUGUUUAACGAAACUCACGUGAAACUGGCGUGAAAUUCGCGCUAAUGCUUCUUGUUUCACGCGUAUUAAUUUACAUGAGCUUACGCGGCUUGCUUGUACUUCGUAAUAAUGCAUGUGUUUACAGUAAAUUUCGUAGUUGCAUUACUCGUUGGGAUCUGAAAAAUAGACGGAUGGAUACGGUGUUAGAAUAAAAUAGCACAAUGGAGAACUUUAACUUCACAAAUUGUUAAUCUAAUAUACUGAAACGUUCCCGUCAUACCUUCAAUACAAAAAUGUGUAAUUUUCUGUAUAAUUCUCAACGUGUUGACGCUUGUUGGUGUAUACGUAUGCUCGAAUUGAUAUUCAUAUUGCAAACAGAAACGGGAAUCGACUAGCUGUGUGGAGAACUGAAAACGUAAUAUGUAGUAAUAUUAUUACAAAAACUAUGAUAUCUUUAUUGGUAAUAAAAUAUAUGAAUGAUAAAUUGAUAAGAGAUCCAAACAUAAAUAUAAUAAAAAAUUAAAUGAAGGAAAAUGCAAUUAGCAAUAGCAAAGCUGAAAAUAUUUUAUGUUGUAAAUUAAAUAACAAUUAAUUAUAGUAAUUACUGACAUAUUAGAUUUAUUAGGAAUAAAAGGAAUAAAUAAUCGUAUAGAUGAGAA
This is a long non-coding RNA of Ooceraea biroi (clonal raider ant), 12975 nucleotides long. RefSeq lists it as uncharacterized. Lineage: Eukaryota; Metazoa; Arthropoda; Insecta; Hymenoptera; Formicidae. The record is from RefSeq and is a predicted model, not a curated record.